This is a non-coding RNA of Lonchura striata (white-rumped munia), 334 nucleotides long. The record is from RefSeq and is a predicted model, not a curated record. NCBI's taxonomy places the organism in Eukaryota, Metazoa, Chordata, Aves, Passeriformes, Estrildidae.
AUAUGUCCCAUUUCCCACCUGUAUGCACUUGCAUCUUGGCUUCGAACAAUGGAUACUUGGGGACUGGACACUUCCCCAUGAGAACUGACUCAUAGAGGACUAGACACAAGAUACCUCAGCCUUUUCUGUGUCAUUUUGAACUAUCUUGCCAGCCCUGUUCAGCAGAGGAUCUACAUAUUCCAAGUACUUCCACUGAAUUUCUGACCAUAAAAAUUAGUAAAUAAAAAUGCAGAAAUAAAUGAAACAUACAGAUUGUUGGCACUUCAGGUUUAAGACUUUGUGUGGGGUUUUUUUUUCCCUCCAUGUGGAAAAUAAAGUUUUUCAUUGUCUAUCU